This 253-nucleotide ribosomal RNA is filed under the name uncultured bacterium. RNAcentral's name for it is "partial 16S ribosomal RNA". It matches the Rfam family "Bacterial small subunit ribosomal RNA", at positions 524 to 776 of the family's 1533-position model. The record is from RNAcentral.
UACGGAGGGUGCAAGCGUUGUCCGGAUUUAUUGGGUUUAAAGGGUGCGUAGGCGGCUAUUUAAGUCAGUAGUGAAAUCCUGCAGCUCAACUGUAGAACAGCCAUUGAUACUGAAUAGCUUGAGUACAGACGAGGUAGGCGGAAUUUAUGGUGUAGCGGUGAAAUGCAUAGAUACCAUAAAGAACCCCUAUUGCGAAGGCAGCUUACUAGGCUGUAACUGACGCUGAGGCACGAAAGCGUGGGGAGCAAACAGG